GGAGGUGGCCGGCGGCAACGGCCGACUCUCCCGGGUUCGGAGAGACCAGGGUCGGCGGUCGGCGUGACCGUCGGCGCCGGAAAAUCAGAGGAAAGAGGCGGCGAACAGGGGGGUUUCCUUCUCCAACUAAAUCCGACGACACCCGUCGCCGACCAUCGUGCACACAGGCACAGGAAAGAAGGGAGAGAAGAGAGGGAGGGGAGGGAGACCUUACCACAACCUCCGGUGACCCCCACCGGCGAGAAAUCGCGGCGAACACGGGUCGAGGAGUCGCGGCUUCAAACGGGAAAAUCGGAGAAAAAUCUCCGGCAAUCGGCGGCGACUGAAGUGUCUACCCAUAGAGGAGAGGGGAAGGGUUCUUAUAGAGCUCGUCCUAGGGUCUUUCAAUGGCCCUAGGACUCCGAUUCUUGAUCGGAGAAGAGGAAGACUCCGAUCG
Molecule: long non-coding RNA, 436 nt
Filed under: Elaeis guineensis (African oil palm)
Lineage: Eukaryota; Viridiplantae; Streptophyta; Magnoliopsida; Arecales; Arecaceae
Description: long non-coding RNA (EGUI_LNC074346)
Source: RNAcentral